ACGAACGCUGGCGGCAUGCCUAACACAUGCAAGUCGAACGGGAUCCAUCCUUCGGGGUGGUGAGAGUGGCGGACGGGUGAGUAACGCGUGGGAACCUGCCCAGUGGUGGGGGAUAACUGCGGGAAACUGCAGCUAAUACCGCAUGAGCCCGAGAGGGGAAAGAUUUAUCGCCAUUGGAGGGGCCCGCGUUCGAUUAGGUAGUUGGUGAGGUAAUGGCUCACCAAGCCGACGAUCGAUAGCUGGUCUGAGAGGAUGAUCAGCCACACUGGGACUGAGAUACGGCCCAGACUCCUACGGGAGGCAGCAGUGGGGAAUAUUGGACAAUGGGGGCAACCCUGAUCCAGCAAUGCCGCGUGAGUGAUGAAGGCCUUAGGGUUGUAAAGCUCUUUUGGCGGGGACGAUGAUGACGGUACCCGCAGAAUAAGCCCCGGCUAACUUCGU
RNAcentral lists this ribosomal RNA (441 nucleotides) under uncultured bacterium. Its description in RNAcentral is "bacterial SSU rRNA". It matches the Rfam family "Bacterial small subunit ribosomal RNA", at positions 29 to 506 of the family's 1533-position model. The record is from RNAcentral.